This 78-nucleotide transfer RNA is filed under the name Edaphobacter sp. Its description in RNAcentral is "tRNA-Glu". It matches the Rfam family "tRNA". Rfam says of the family: Transfer RNA (tRNA) molecules are approximately 80 nucleotides in length. Their secondary structure includes four short double-helical elements and three loops (D, anti-codon, and T loops). RNAcentral also lists the same sequence under 10 other names. The record is from RNAcentral. Lineage: Bacteria; Pseudomonadati; Acidobacteriota; Terriglobia; Terriglobales; Acidobacteriaceae.
GUCCCCGUCGUCUAGCCCGGCCCAGGACACCGCCCUUUCACGGCGAUAACACGGGUUCGAAUCCCGUCGGGGACGCCA